GACGAACGCUGGCGGCGUGCUUAACACAUGCAAGUCGAACGGAAAGGCCCUGCCUUUGUGGGGUGCUCGAGUGGCGAACGGGUGAGUAACACGUGAGUAACCUGCCCUUGACUUUGGGAUAACUUCAGGAAACUGGGGCUAAUACCGGAUAGGAGCUCCUGCUGCAUGGUGGGGGUUGGAAAGUUUCGGCGGUUGGGGAUGGACUCGCGGCUUAUCAGCUUGUUGGUGGGGUAGUGGCUUACCAAGGCUUUGACGGGUAGCCGGCCUGAGAGGGUGACCGGCCACAUUGGGACUGAGAUACGGCCCAGACUCCUACGGGAGGCAGCAGUGGGGAAUAUUGCACAAUGGGCGGAAGCCUGAUGCAGCAACGCCGCGUGCGGGACGACGGCCUUCGGGUUGUAAACCGCUUUCGCCUGUGACGAAGCGUGAGUGACGGUAAUGGGUAAAGAAGCACCGGCUAACUACGUG
This 468-nucleotide ribosomal RNA is filed under the name uncultured bacterium. RNAcentral describes it as "partial 16S ribosomal RNA". It matches the Rfam family "Bacterial small subunit ribosomal RNA", at positions 28 to 507 of the family's 1533-position model. The record is from RNAcentral.